GAUGAACGCUGGCGGCGUGCCUAAUACAUGCAAGUAGAACGCUGAAGGAAGGAGCUUGCUCUUUCCGGAUGAGUUGCGAACGGGUGAGUAACGCGUAGGUAACCUGCCUGGUAGCGGGGGAUAACUAUUGGAAACGAUAGCUAAUACCGCAUAACAGUAGAUGUUGCAUGAUAUCUACUUAAAAGGUGCAAUUGCACCACUACCAGAUGGACCUGCGUUGUAUUAGCUAGUUGGUGAGGUAACGGCUCACCAAGGCGACGAUACAUAGCCGACCUGAGAGGGUGAUCGGCCACACUGGGACUGAGACACGGCCCAGACUCCUACGGGAGGCAGCAGUAGGGAAUCUUCGGCAAUGGACGGAAGUCUGACCGAGCAACGCCGCGUGAGUGAAGAAGGGUUUCGGAUCGUAAAGCUCUGUUGUAAGAGAAGAACGAGUGUGAGAGUGGAAAGUUCACACUGUGACGGUAGCUUACCAGAAAGAGACGGCUAACUACGUG
RNAcentral lists this ribosomal RNA (497 nucleotides) under uncultured bacterium. RNAcentral describes it as "partial 16S ribosomal RNA". It matches the Rfam family "Bacterial small subunit ribosomal RNA", at positions 28 to 507 of the family's 1533-position model. The record is from RNAcentral.